RNAcentral lists this ribosomal RNA (286 nucleotides) under Staphylococcus haemolyticus. RNAcentral describes it as "partial 16S ribosomal RNA". It matches the Rfam family "Bacterial small subunit ribosomal RNA", at positions 1 to 276 of the family's 1533-position model. The record is from RNAcentral. Lineage: Bacteria; Bacillati; Bacillota; Bacilli; Caryophanales; Staphylococcaceae.
UUUAUGGAGAGUUUGAUCCUGGCUCAGGAUGAACGCUGGCGGCGUGCCUAAUACAUGCAAGUCGAGCGAACAGAUGAGGAGCUUGCUCCUUUGACGUUAGCGGCGGACGGGUGAGUAACACGUGGGUAACCUACCUAUAAGACUGGGAUAACUUCGGGAAACCGGAGCUAAUACCGGAUAAUAUUUCGAACCGCAUGGUUCGAUAGUGAAAGAUGGUUUUGCUAUCACUUAUAGAUGGACCCGCGCCGUAUUAGCUAGUUGGUAAGGUAACGGCUUACCAAGGCGA